This 574-nucleotide unclassified non-coding RNA is filed under the name Nilaparvata lugens (brown planthopper). Its description in RNAcentral is "uncharacterized LOC120352763, transcript variant X2". The record is from RNAcentral. Lineage: Eukaryota; Metazoa; Arthropoda; Insecta; Hemiptera; Delphacidae.
CUCCGUGUCAGGCGAACGUUGGGGGGAGGGGCGGGGUACUUUUUGCCGCUAAUGUUAGAUGGCCUACACAGCUUAUCUUUAGCAAAGCCACAGUCAAGUACGAAACCUUACUGAUUAAAACAACUAUUACAAAUACAAUACAAAUACAGUCUGUCGAUAAUGGAAGUGAGUGACUCAGUUUUCGUCGGUCUCCAAGUAGUUGUUUUAAAUAGUAAAAUUAGCCUAUUUAACCCAAAUUUAUGUUUUAAAAUGAUUGGGUCAGCUCUACGGUUGAUAAGCUAAAAGCAACUUGCUCAGCUGGUCCUGAUGGUCCCCCUGCCUAUAUUAUUAAGGGUUGUAAGGAUAUUCUAGAACUUGCUGUUGGCUUUCCCCAUUGAUGGAACGACGACUUUCGAUUCGCAGGCACAGGUUGUAGGCUGUGGAAUGAUCUUCCAGCUACAGUCCGGGCCAUUGAUGGGCGUGAUCUCUUCGAGGCGGAGGUCAGACGGCUUUUGUUGGUGUAAGUUGGCUGGCAUUUGCAGCUUUAGUGGUGGGCUGUGUGAAUGUUUAUAAUACCUCUAUAAAUUUCAAUUCU